AAAAAUACAGAAAUUAAUUACUUAAAUUCAGUCAACUAUCUGCAUUUUCUUUCUUAUAUUUAUUUCUCGUAUUUUGUCAAGUAUAUUUGGUAUUCAUAAUUUAUAUAAUUAUAUUGUAUUUAGGGAGAUUUGCAAAACUACCUUUUAUUUACUACCCUUUUGUAACAAUACCCUUUUAUGUUGUCCAUUUUUUAAAAUACCUCUUCCCUUUAACAAAAUAACCAAAUUACCCUCAUCUAAUAGGAACAUGUAAUUGGAAACUAGAAUUUUCCCGCCAAUUUUUUGGCGCCAAAAUUUAUUUUUCCCGCCGAUUUUUUGGCGCCAAAAUUUAUUUUUCCCGCCAAAAAAAUAUUUCCACCAAACUUUUUUCCCACCAAAAUAAAAAUUCCCGGCAAAUUUUUUUUCGUAACAAAUUUUUUCUCAGCCAAAAAAAUGCUUUUAAAAAUCCUUGUAAAUUUUUUUUGGCUGGAAAUAGAUUUACAAGGGAUUUUAAAAGGGUUUUAAAAGAUUUACAAGAGAUUUUAAAAGGGUUUUAAAAAAUUUACAAGAGAUUUUAAAAGGGUUUUAAAAGAUUUCCAAUGAAUUUUAAAGGGUUUUCUUGUAAAUUCUUUAAAAAACUUUUAAAAACCCUUGUACAUCUUUUAAAACACAUUUAAAGCCUUUAAAAAUAUCUUGUAAAUCUUUUAAAAUCUCUUGUAAAUCUUCCAAAACACUUUUAAACCCUUUAAAAAACUUUUGUAAAUCUUUUAAAGCCCUUUAAAAUCCCUUGUAAAUAUUUUAAAACCCUUUUAAAAUCUCUUGUAAAUCUUUUAAAACAUUUUUAAAAUCCCUUGUAAAUAUUUUAAAAUCCUUUUAAAACAAUUUUAAACCCUUUAAAAUCUCUUGUAAAUCUUUUAAAACCCUUUUAAAAUCCCUUAUAAAUCUGUUAAAAACCUUUUAAAAUCUCUUGCAAAUCUUUUAAAAUCCUUUUAAGAUCCCUUGUAAAUAUUUUAAAAUCUUUUGUAAAUCUUUUAAAACCCUUUUUAAAUCCCUUGUAAAUCUUUUAAAACCCUUUUAAAAUCCCUUGUAAAUCUUUUAAACCCUUGUCAAUCUUUUAAAACACUUUUAAAAUCCCUUGUAAAUCUAUUUCCCGCCAACAAAAAAAAAUUUGCGGGAAAAAUCUUUUUUAAA
RNAcentral lists this small RNA (1170 nucleotides) under Arabidopsis thaliana (thale cress). RNAcentral describes it as "ATSL168450". The record is from RNAcentral. Lineage: Eukaryota; Viridiplantae; Streptophyta; Magnoliopsida; Brassicales; Brassicaceae.